RNAcentral lists this unclassified non-coding RNA (356 nucleotides) under soil metagenome. RNAcentral describes it as "partial contains 5.8S ribosomal RNA, internal transcribed spacer 2, and large subunit ribosomal RNA". The stretch from base 1 to 121 matches the Rfam family "5.8S ribosomal RNA", at positions 35 to 154 of the family's 154-position model. The record is from RNAcentral.
GAUGAAGGAACGUAGCGAAAUGCGAUAAGUAAUGUGAAUUGCAGAAUUCAGUGAAUCAUCGAAUCUUUGAACGCACAUUGCGCCCAUUAGUAUUCUAGUGGGCAUGCCUGUUCGAGCGUCAUUAAGUCCACUUAAGCCCUGCUUAGUGUUGGGAGACUGCUCCAGCGGUGCUACCCUGUAGCUACCCUGCAGCUCCUCAAAGACAGCGGCGGAGUUGUGGUAUCCUCUGAGCUUAGUAACUUGUUCUAGCUUUCGCGUACACCACUUCCCCUGCCGUAAAACCCUUAAUUUUUAAUGGUUGACCUCGGAUCAGGUAGGAAUACCCGCUGAACUUAAGCAUAUCAAUAAGCGGAGGA